This 275-nucleotide ribosomal RNA is filed under the name uncultured bacterium. RNAcentral's name for it is "partial 16S ribosomal RNA". It matches the Rfam family "Bacterial small subunit ribosomal RNA", at positions 523 to 796 of the family's 1533-position model. The record is from RNAcentral.
AUACGGAGGGUGCAAGCAUUAAUCGGAUGUAUUGGGCGUAAAGGGCGCGUAGGCGGAUGUAUAAGUCAGAUGUGAAAUUUCGGGGCUCAACCCCGAAGCUGCAUUUGAAACUGUACGUCUUAGAGGGUAGGCGGAGAAAAUGGAAUUCCACAUGUAGCGGUGAAAUGCGUAGAUAUGUGGAAGAACACCUGUGGCGAAAGCGGUUUUCUAGCUUAUUUCUGACGCUGAGGCGCGAGAGCAAGGGGAGCAAACAGGAUUAGAAACCCCUGUAGUCC